RNAcentral lists this ribosomal RNA (652 nucleotides) under Microcystis aeruginosa C1. RNAcentral describes it as "bacterial SSU rRNA". It matches the Rfam family "Bacterial small subunit ribosomal RNA", at positions 107 to 793 of the family's 1533-position model. The record is from RNAcentral. Lineage: Bacteria; Bacillati; Cyanobacteriota; Cyanophyceae; Chroococcales; Microcystaceae.
GGAGUAACGCGUGAGAAUCUAACUUCAGGACGGGGACAACAGUUGGAAACGACUGCUAAUACCCGAUGUGCCGCAAGGUGAAACCUAAUUGGCCUGGAGAAGAGCUUGCGUCUGAUUAGCUAGUUGGUGGGGUAAAGGCCUACCAAGGCGACGAUCAGUAGCUGGUUUGAGAGGAUGAGCAGCCACACUGGGACUGAGACACGGCCCAGACUCCUACGGGAGGCAGCAGUGGGGAAUUUUCCGCAAUGGGCGAAAGCCUGACGGAGCAACGCCGCGUGAGGGAGGAAGGUCUUUGGAUUGUAAACCUCUUUUCUCAAGGAAGAAGUUCUGACGGUACUUGAGGAAUCAGCCUCGGCUAACUCCGUGCCAGCAGCCGCGGUAAUACGGGGGAGGCAAGCGUUAUCCGGAAUUAUUGGGCGUAAAGCGUCCGCAGGUGGUCAGCCAAGUCUGCUGUCAAAUCAGGUUGCUUAACGACCUAAAGGCGGUGGAAACUGGCAGACUAGAGAGCAGUAGGGGUAGCAGGAAUUCCCAGUGUAGCGGUGAAAUGCGUAGAGAUUGGGAAGAACAUCGGUGGCGAAAGCGUGCUACUGGGCUGUAUCUGACACUCAGGGACGAAAGCUAGGGGAGCGAAAGGGAUUAGAUACCCCUGUAG